Long non-coding RNA from Paramisgurnus dabryanus, 871 nucleotides. RefSeq lists it as uncharacterized. The record is from RefSeq and is a predicted model, not a curated record. NCBI's taxonomy places the organism in Eukaryota, Metazoa, Chordata, Actinopteri, Cypriniformes, Cobitidae.
CGGUCAUUCGCGCAGUAUCCAUGAUUUUAAGCGGCAUGAAACACUUAAGUUAACUCCUUUGUACGAAAAUAUCAUGUCGUGUAAGUUGGCAUGUUCUAUUCGAAUUGAAAUACAUUGUAACGGUGUAAUUUUGCUUACUUGUUGAAUAGUUAGCAAGUUUUAAUGGAAAUAGAAAAUAUUGGUUAUCUAGACAAAUAUGGUCUUGUUUUUAGUAUAUUUUUAUAACUCUUUUGUAAUGUCUUCGUUAUCAGAGCCCUUCAAAUUAGAAUAGUGAUGAUGAUCUUGUCAAUGCUGAGAUUUUCAUGCAUCAGCAGCCACUACAUCUGGAUCAGAUUGAACAAGAAACAGACAGCAAGGGUUGUCAGAUCAGAAACAGAAUGACACACAAACACAAGAAACUUCACAGGCAGAUCAACAUGCAAUUUGAAGACGUGUGAUAAAAUACAGAGAGGUGAAGUAGUGUGUCUUUCCAGAUCCCCAAAUCAUUCCCCCUUAAAAGAUGAGCCUGAAGAGGAGAUUUGGGAAGAUGUUGUUUCAUAAGUCGCUUUGCCAGAUCACCUGUGGUCGGGAUGUCUGCUAACAAGAUGCCUUGCUGGUCUGAGCGAGUUUAAAGUCUUACACAGACAGUCCAGAAGUUCUGAAGUCCAUCUUCGAUUUCAUUGGACGCUUUAAGGUGUAGAAACAUCUCAGCAACCUCAAGAGAAAUUGGAGGCAACUGAGCUAAAUUGCAGAUGUUGUUGCAAAGGGUCUGAAUAUGUAUAAUAUGCUGUCAUCGUAUUAAGUACAGCAUGAGCCAGAAUAGAUGGGUGGUGGUGGCCAUAAGAAGACUGUCAACUAAACCAACAACAAAAUUCAUAUCUGCAGUUUUUCU